Long non-coding RNA from Seriola dumerili (greater amberjack), 251 nucleotides. RefSeq lists it as uncharacterized. The transcript is spliced from 3 exons. Lineage: Eukaryota; Metazoa; Chordata; Actinopteri; Carangiformes; Carangidae. The record is from RefSeq and is a predicted model, not a curated record.
UCCCUCUGAGUUUCCUGCUGCUGCUGUCAGUGGAGUUGUUGUAGGACUGCUGCUCCUGGCUCUCUGUGGACUCUUCAUCUGGAGAAGGAAACACAAUGGGUUCAGACCUGCAAACACUUCAGACUCUUGAUUUCCAUUGGAUGCAGCUUCUAACUGAUCACAGUGACUUCUGCAUCGUGUCAAUACUGUGCAGAUGUGCAGAAAAAGAGAGGAGCUCAGUCAUAAAAUGUUACCAAAGAAGAUCAGAAGAG